UUCCCGGGCCUUGUACACACCGCCCGUCACACCAUGAGAGUUGGAAAUACCCGAAGCCUGUGAGCUAACUUAAAGAGGCAGCAGUCGAAGGUAGAGCCAAUGAUUGGGGUGAAGUCGUAACAAGGUAGC
This 129-nucleotide ribosomal RNA is filed under the name uncultured bacterium. RNAcentral describes it as "partial 16S ribosomal RNA". It matches the Rfam family "Bacterial small subunit ribosomal RNA", at positions 1371 to 1500 of the family's 1533-position model. The record is from RNAcentral.